RNAcentral lists this ribosomal RNA (401 nucleotides) under uncultured bacterium. Its description in RNAcentral is "bacterial SSU rRNA". It matches the Rfam family "Bacterial small subunit ribosomal RNA", at positions 28 to 435 of the family's 1533-position model. The record is from RNAcentral.
GACGAACGCUGGCGGCGUGCUUAACACAUGCAAGUCGAACGGUGAACCACCUUCGGGUGGGAGUCAGUGGCGAACGGGUGAGUAACACGUGGGCAACCUGCCCCUAGCUCUGGGAGUAACCCCGGAAACCGGGGCGUAAUACCGGAUAUGACUCCGAGCGGCAUCGCUUGGAGUGGAAAGUUUUCGGCUAGGGAUGGGCCCGCGGCCUAUCAGCUUGUUGGUGGGGUAACGGCCUACCAAGGCGACGACGGGAGCCGGCCUGAGAGGGCGACCGGCCACACUGGGACUGAGACACGGCCCAGACUCCUACGGGAGGCAGCAGUGGGGAAUAUUGCGCAAUGGGCGAAAGCCUGACGCAGCGACGCCGCGUGAGGGACGAAGGCCUUCGGUCGUAACCUCUU